CAAUAGCGUAUAUUUAAGUUGUUGCAGUUGAAAGGCUCGUAGUCGGAAUUUAGCGCUUUCUCGAUGGUCCGCCUCUGGUGUGCACUGUCGACGAUUGUGCUUUCUGUCGGGGACGUGUUCCUGGGCUUAACUGUCUGGGACUCGGGCUCGGCGUGGUUACUUUGAGUAAAUUAGAGUGUUCAAAGCAGGCGAUCGCCCUGAAUACAUUAGCAUGGAAUAGCAUGAUAGGGCUCUGGCCUAUCUUGCUGGUCUGUAGGACCGGAGUAAUGAUUAAGAGGGACAGUCGGGGGCAUUCGUAUUUCGUUGUCAGAGGUGAAAUUCUUGGAUUUACGAAAGACGAACAUCUGCGAAAGCAUUUGCCAAGGAUGUUUUCAUUGA
RNAcentral lists this ribosomal RNA (378 nucleotides) under uncultured eukaryote. RNAcentral describes it as "partial 18S ribosomal RNA". It matches the Rfam family "Eukaryotic small subunit ribosomal RNA", at positions 592 to 976 of the family's 1831-position model. The record is from RNAcentral.